Molecule: ribosomal RNA, 425 nt
Filed under: uncultured bacterium
Lineage: Bacteria
Description: bacterial SSU rRNA
Rfam family: Bacterial small subunit ribosomal RNA
Source: RNAcentral
GUGGGGAAUAUUGCACAAUGGGGGAAACCCUGAUGCAGCGACGCCGCGUGGAGGAAGAAGGUCUUCGGAUUGUAAACUCCUGUCCCAGGGGACGAUAAUGACGGUACCCUGGGAGGAAGCACCGGCUAACUACGUGCCAGCAGCCGCGGUAAAACGUAGGGUGCAAGCGUUGUCCGGAAUUACUGGGUGUAAAGGGAGCGCAGGCGGAUUGGCAAGUUGGGAGUGAAAUCUAUGGGCUCAACCCAUAAAUUGCUUUCAAAACUGUCAGUCUUGAGUGGUGUAGAGGUAGGCGGAAUUCCCGGUGUAGCGGUGGAAUGCGUAGAUAUCGGGAGGAACACCAGUGGCGAAGGCGGCCUACUGGGCACUAACUGACGCUGAGGCUCGAAAGCAUGGGUAGCAAACAGGAUUAGAUACCCUAGUAGUCC